CGCACAGAGGGCUGCAAACCCGCGAGGGGGAGCCAAUCUCACAAAACGCAUCGUAGUCCGGAUCGCAGUCUGCAACUCGACUGCGUGAAGCUGGAAUCGCUAGUAAUCGCGCAUCAGCAAUGGCGCGGUGAAUACGUUCCCGGACCUUGUACACACCGCCCGUCAAGCCAUGGGAGUUGGGUAUGCCUGAAGAUGGUUGCUGUAAGGCGCUGUUUAGGGCAGAACUAGCGACUGGGGCUAAGUCGUAACAAGGUAGCCGUACCGGAAGGUGUGGCUGGAACACCUCC
This 287-nucleotide ribosomal RNA is filed under the name Hemiselmis virescens. RNAcentral's name for it is "partial Bacterial small subunit ribosomal RNA". It matches the Rfam family "Bacterial small subunit ribosomal RNA", at positions 1236 to 1530 of the family's 1533-position model. The record is from RNAcentral. Lineage: Eukaryota; Cryptophyceae; Cryptomonadales; Hemiselmidaceae.